Molecule: long non-coding RNA, 1512 nt
Organism: Dama dama (fallow deer)
Lineage: Eukaryota; Metazoa; Chordata; Mammalia; Artiodactyla; Cervidae
Exons: 5
Source: RefSeq, a predicted model, not a curated record
GGUCACAUGCCACAGCUAAAGAUCCUACAUGCUGCAAGGAAGGCUGAAGAUCCUGUGUGCCAAAGCUAAGACCCAAAAAUUACCAUGAACUGAAUGGCUUGAUCCAAUAGACACCUGUUCUCUCACAGUCCUGGAGGCUAGAAGGUUGAAGACAAGGUACUGGCAAGGAGGCAGAUGCAAUGUCUGGAGAAGUAUCAGUGCCAUUAUGACUGGGAAAAUGAAAGACAUAUGCUGAGAAGAGUGAAGAAAGAAGAUAGGAUUCUUGGUGAUGUCAUUGAGUCAUACAAAAACUGGACUGGAGGAGUCCUUAUUAAAUGAAAGAAGAGAGGAAAAAAAAACACUGGACUUCUUUAAACUCUUGAAAUUUGCUGCUCCCUCAAGUCUCACUGGAAGCAAACUUCAAUCAUCUUAUAAACUUCAAGAAUCUGUAGCAGCAACCCUCGUUCACCCAACUUUCACACUCCUCUGUCAACCAGCUUGGGUACCAGUGAAAUCCAUCUUUGUCCUCCCCAUUCUCCUACAGCUCACGCAGGAUGCUGAAUUCCAAGCAUCAGGGUCUCUUCCAGUGAGUCAGUUCUUCGCAUCAGGUGGCCAAAGUAUUGGAGUUUCAGCUUCAGCAUCAGUCCUUUCAAUGAACAUUCAGGACUGAUUUCCUUUAGGAUUGACUGGUUUGAUCUUGCAGAAAACAGAAGAAAUAUUAUAACAAAUUCAAAUAAAGAUUUUUAAAAUGUUCUACAUAAAAAAACCUUUAAAUAAUCAAAUGUAAUCAUAGUACAAAUGGCUUAAUAUCUAAUAAAUAUGUUGUGCUUGUUUUUAAAAAUAGGUUAACUAUUUUUAAGUUCUAGUAUAUUGCCAAUCAUAAAGGAAAGCAAAUGAAAUACUUUUUAAAAAUAAGGAAUAAUAAUACUGCCAUUCAAAGGGAAAUGUGUUAAUUUGGAGAGGUCUUCCUCUGUCAGUCUUUUUGGUGCCUUUUACAUAGUUGUAAUCAUUCUGAAUUUUAGUUUAAUGUUAUAGCACAAAUGUUUUCCAUGUUAUCAUAUUUGCUUUAUAUGUAACUUUGUGAUAGUUACAUAACAUUUUAAGUUUAUCAUGAAAUAUUUCAUACAAAAAGACAUAAGGAAUGAAUAGAAUGAAAUGCAUGUAUCCUCACAGAGCUUAAGAAAUAAACCAUAGAACGACAAUACAAUAUCUGAUGGCCUAUUAUUGCGAGGAAAAGACAACAUAAAGCAGUGGACUAUUACCAUUGAAGUGCUGAAACAAAACAAGUAGGGGCAGUCGUUUAAAAUUACGUCUGUGUAGGGGAUAUAUGUAUAUGUAUGGCUGAUUCAUUUUGAUGUACAGUAGAAACUAACAACAUUGUAAUUGUAAAGCAACAAUAGUCCAAUUAAAAUUAAUGGAAAAAAAAUCACAGGACCUAAUAUGUCAUCAUUGCCCAAUAGAUAUUUGUAAGUGAAAAAAAUAAGUCUAUGCAAAUCAACUAUACAUCAAUAAAAAGUGAAUAAAUAAAGUAGU